GCGCACGGGUGAGUAACGCGUAUGCAACCUACCUUUUACCGGGGGAUAGCUCAGUGAAAACUGGAUUAAUACCCCAUAACACAGGGAUACCGCAUGGUAAUAUUUGUUAAAGCUCCGGCGGUAAAAGAUGGGCAUGCGUGACAUUAGCUAGUUGGUAGGGUAACGGCCUACCAAGGCGACGAUGUCUAAGGGGUCUGAGAGGAUGAUCCCUCACACUGGUACUGAGACACGGACCAGACUCCUACGGGAGGCAGCAGUGAGGAAUAUUGGUCAAUGGGGGCAACCCUGAACCAGCCAUGCCGCGUGAAGGAAGACGGUUCUAAGAAUUGUAAACUUCUUUUGUACGGGGGUAAAGACAGAUACGUGUAUUUGUUUGAAAGUACUGUACGAAUAAGCAUCGGCUAACUCCGUGCCAGCAGCCGCGGUAAUACGGAGGAUGCGAGCGUUAUCCGGAUUUAUUGGGUUUAAAGGGUGCGUAGGCGGAUUUAUAAGUCAGCGGUGAAAGACUGUCGCUCAACGAUAGCAUUGCCAUUGAUACUGUAGAUCUUGAGUAUAUUUGAGGUAGGCGGAAUGUGUAGUGUAGCGGUGAAAUGCUUAGAUAUUACACAGAACACCAAUUGCGAAGGCAGCUUACUAAACUAUAACUGACGCUGAGGCACGAAAGCGUGGGGAUCAAACAGGAUUAGAUACCCUGGUAGUCCACGCCGUAAACGAUGAUCACUGGAUGUUUGCGAUACACAGCAAGCGUCUGAGUAAAAGCAUUAAGUGAUCCACC
This 775-nucleotide ribosomal RNA is filed under the name Bacteroidetes bacterium IPR-33G. RNAcentral describes it as "bacterial SSU rRNA". It matches the Rfam family "Bacterial small subunit ribosomal RNA", at positions 98 to 873 of the family's 1533-position model. The record is from RNAcentral. Lineage: Bacteria; Pseudomonadati; Bacteroidota.